Molecule: ribosomal RNA, 1807 nt
Filed under: seawater metagenome
Description: bacterial LSU rRNA
Rfam family: Bacterial large subunit ribosomal RNA
Source: RNAcentral
AAUAGCUCACUAGUCGAGUCGGCCUGCGCGGAAGAUGUAACGGGGCUCAAACUGGAUACCGAAGCUGCGGCUGCAUACUAUGUAUGCGGGGUAGGGGAGCGUUGUGUAAGUCUGUGAAGGUGUGUUGAGAAGCAUGCUGGAGAUAUCACAAGUGCGAAUGCUGACGUGAGUAACGAUAAUGGGAGUGAAAAACUCCCACGCCGAAAGACCAAGGUUUCCUGCGCAACGCUAAUCGGCGCAGGGUGAGUCGGCCCCUAAGGCGAGGCAGAAAUGCGUAGCUGAUGGGAAACGGGUUAAUAUUCCCGUACUUCUUAUAACUGCGAUGGAGAGACGGAGAAGGCUAUGCCUACCGGGCGUUGGUUGUCCCGGGGAAAGGCUGUAGGCUGAGGUGUUAGGCAAAUCCGGCACCUUAAGGCUGAGAGUCGAGACCACUGGUCCUUUGUGACCGGGAAGUGGUUGAUGCCAUGCUUCCAGGAAAAUCUUCUAAGCUUCAGGUUAUAAGGAACCGUACCCCAAACCGACACAGGUGGUUGGGAUGAGUAUUCUAAGGCGCUUGAGAGAACUCGGGUGAAGGAACUAGGCAAAGUGGUACCGUAACUUCGGGAGAAGGUACGCCGCUGAAGGUGAUGAGACUUGCUCUCUGAGCUAUCGGCGGUCGCAGUGAAAAGGCCCCUGCAACUGUUUAUUAAAAACACAGCACUCUGCAAACGCGUAAGCGGACGUAUAGGGUGUGACGCCUGCCCGGUGCCGGAAGGUUAAUUGAUGGGGUUAGCUUCGGCGAAGCUCUUGAUCGAAGCCCCGGUAAACGGCGGCCGUAACUAUAACGGUCCUAAGGUAGCGAAAUUCCUUGUCGGGUAAGUUCCGACCUGCACGAAUGGCGUAAUGAUGGGGGCGCUGUCUCCACCCGAGACUCAGUGAAAUCGAAAUCGCAGUGAAGAUGCUGUGUACCCGCGGCUAGACGGAAAGACCCCGUGAACCUUUACUAUAGCUUCACAGUGGACUUUGAACCUGUUUGUGUAGGAUAGCUGGGAGACUUUGAAGCAGUGACGCUAGUUACUGUGGAGUCGUCCUUGAAAUACCAGCCUGGCAUGUUUGAGGUUCUAACCUAGGUCCCUUAUCGGGAUCGGGGACAUUGUGUGGUGGGUAGUUUGACUGGGGCGGUCUCCUCCCAAAGAGUAACGGAGGAGCACAAAGGUACCCUCAGCACGGUCGGACAUCGUGCAACGAGCGUAAAGGUAGAAGGGUGCUUGACUGCGAGACCUACAAGUCGAGCAGGUGCGAAAGCAGGUCUUAGUGAUCCGGUGGUUCUGUAUGGAAGGGCCAUCGCUCAACGGAUAAAAGGUACUCCGGGGAUAACAGGCUGAUACCGCCCAAGAGUUCAUAUCGACGGCGGUGUUUGGCACCUCGAUGUCGGCUCAUCACAUCCUGGGGCUGUAGCCGGUCCCAAGGGUAUGGCUGUUCGCCAUUUAAAGUGGUACGCGAGCUGGGUUUAGAACGUCGUGAGACAGUUCGGUCCCUAUCUGCCGUGGGCGUUGGAGAUUUGAGAGGAGCUGCUCCUAGUACGAGAGGACCGGAGUGGACGAACCUCUGGUGUUCCGGUUGUCACGCCAGUGGCAUUGCCGGGUAGCUACGUUCGGACGGGAUAACCGCUGAAAGCAUCUAAGCGGGAAGCCUCCCUCAAGAUGAGAUCUCCCUGGGAACUUGAUUCCCCUGAAGGGCCGUUGAAGACCACAACGUUGAUAGGCUGGGUGUGGAAGCGUUGUAAGGCGUGAAGCUAACCAGUACUAAUUGCCCGUGAGGCUUGACU